AAGAGGAAGUCGAUUUUCGAGGCUGCGAUUGAAGGGCGACCGGAUUUCAAUGACCUGCAAGAAUAAAAAAUGUGUAACAAUCAGUAAAUGCGUUAAUGUGACAGAAGAUAAGAGGAUACGCGCCGAAAUCGAGCGUGAAGAUGAGCUAGAGGACUACAUACUGAAAUACUCACAUGUGUUACGGAAAGUUAAAUACCUAUCUUUCUUUAAAAAGCUAACGAACUUGUCAAUAAGGAUGCCCUAGGUGAACGAAGUCUCUUACGGUACGAUCUAUACUCGGACAACGUAUUUGAUCACGUUUGCAUUGGAAUUCUACGUAUUUUCAUAAAUCAUUUAUCUCUCUCGACGAAACGCGUUUUUCUAUGUGCAAUGCAGUAUACGUAAUUGCUGCUUACAUAUGGGAGUACAGCGAUUUGAUUAACAGCCGUUUGAAGGCUGAGCAUGUACAAAAGAGUCGGCACCAACACUAUGUUUCGGUCUCAAUGUCGAGGAAACGCUUUCAUGCUGAUGUUUUAUGGAAAACGCGUCUGAAGCAGGACAAAACCACCACGAAAUUGAAACGCAGAAAAGAGGAGUUACGCGUCAUGUGAGAAUUCUCAUUAGUUUUUGCUUGUCGUUUCCUUGCCUGCUUCUUCAUUCCAUGUACGCAAUCAUCUCUCCCUCUCUCUCUCUCUCUCUCUCUCUUGAGCGAUCAAGUCACAAUUCAUCGAAAAUAGUGUUCAUAGAAUUGUGAGAAUAUUAAGAAGUCCAAAGGUUGAAGCUAAAUGAAUCUAAUCGAAGUCAUGAAUCUUUAAAAUUUAUUAGCACUUAUUAUAGGAAAAAUGAGAAAAAAAUAAAGAUAAAAUCUUGAUACAAGUAAAA
This is a long non-coding RNA of Ooceraea biroi (clonal raider ant), 861 nucleotides long. RefSeq lists it as uncharacterized. The record is from RefSeq and is a predicted model, not a curated record. NCBI's taxonomy places the organism in Eukaryota, Metazoa, Arthropoda, Insecta, Hymenoptera, Formicidae.